This 723-nucleotide ribosomal RNA is filed under the name Triticum aestivum (bread wheat). RNAcentral's name for it is "partial small subunit ribosomal RNA". Lineage: Eukaryota; Viridiplantae; Streptophyta; Magnoliopsida; Poales; Poaceae. The record is from RNAcentral.
AUGCCUUCCUGGAACGACGAGGAAACCAGCUCGGAGGAGGAGUGCGAGGUUGUCAGCAUGGACAUGGGACUUAUGGAGGAACCAGACACCACUGUGGAGCCCCUUUUCUGUGGCCAACUUGAGCUUGCUCAUCCCAAGUGCAUUCUGCACCAACUGAGGCCUAUUAAGCGUGUUGCUUUUGAAGGGCCUGAAAAUGGUGUGAAUUGUGGUGUUGUAGAGUGGGUUGAUGGGCCUUGGCCAACUGUUCUUCAGAGAUGUCUGUGCAAGCUAUGGGAGAUGUUCCAUGAGCAGAACUUUGGAAGGGUACAGGACAAGCAAAAGUUUGAGAAGGAGUUGGCCAGGCUUAAGAGUGAACAUGAAAGGGAGUUGGCCAAGCUUAGGACUGAAAAUGACAAGCUUUGCAUUGAGUACACCAAGCUUGUUGAUGAUGUAUCCAAGAUGUUUGAUUGGCAGGAUGGUAGGGUGGACAAGAAGGUGUACCAGAAACAAGUGGAGGAGGAAGAACUUGAGAAGAAGAAGAAGGAGCUAGAGGAGAAAGCUAUGUUGGAGGUGCAGAUGGAAAAGCUCAAACUUGCAAAAGAGCAGAGGAAGGCUGUUGAAGUUGACAGAGAUGUUCUUAAGAAGGAGAAGGCAAAGCUUGAGCUUGUUGUUGCUGAGCUGCUGAAAGAAGGGUAUGGCAGCAAGGAGAAGUUAGAGCAAAUCAAGGCCAUCCUUGAGUCUUGA